GGUCGUUGAAGGGAACCAUGCCUGAUGGAGGGGGAUAACUACUGGAAACGGUAGCUAAUACCGCAUAACGUCGCAAGACCAAAGAGGGGGACCUUCGGGCCUCUUGCCAUCGGAUGUGCCCAAAUGGCUUUAGCUAGUAGGUGGGGUAACGGCUCACCUAGGCGACGAUCCCUAGCUGGUCUGAGAGGAUGACCAGCCACACUGAAACUGAGACACGGUCCAGACUCCUACGGGAGGCGGCAAUGGGGGAUAUUGCACAGUGAGCGCAAGCCUGAUGCGGCCAUGCCGCGUGUAUGAAGAAGGCCUUCGGGUUGUAAAGUACUUUCAGCGGGGAGGAAGGCGAUAAGGUUAAUAACCUUGUCGAUUGACUUUACCCGCAAAAAAAGCACCGGCUAACUCCGUGCCAGCAGCCGCGGUAAUACGGGAGGGUGCAAGCGUUAAUCGGAAUUGCUGGGCGUAAAGCGCACGCGGGCGGUCUGUCAAGUCGGAUGUGAAAUCCCCGGGCUCAACCUGGGAACUGCAUUCGAAACUGGGCAGCUAGAGUCUUGUAAAGGGGGGUAGAAUUCCAGGUGUAGCGGUGAAAUGCGUAUAGAUCUGAAUGAAUACCGGGGCGAAGGCGGCCCCCUGGACAAAGACUGACGCUCAGGUGCGCAAGCGUGGGGAACAAACAGGAUAGAUACCCUGGUAGUCCACGCCGUAAACGAUAUCACUUGUAGGUUGUGCCCUUGAAGCGUGGCUUCCGGAACUACGCGUUAGAUCGACCGCCUGGGGAGGUACGCCGCCAGGUUAAAACAUGAAAUGAAUUGACGGGGGGCCCCGAGCAGCCGGUGGGAGCA
Molecule: ribosomal RNA, 836 nt
Filed under: uncultured Enterobacter sp.
Lineage: Bacteria; Pseudomonadati; Pseudomonadota; Gammaproteobacteria; Enterobacterales; Enterobacteriaceae
Description: bacterial SSU rRNA
Rfam family: Bacterial small subunit ribosomal RNA
Source: RNAcentral